This 467-nucleotide ribosomal RNA is filed under the name Thonalmus sinuaticostis. RNAcentral describes it as "partial large subunit ribosomal RNA". It matches the Rfam family "Bacterial large subunit ribosomal RNA", at positions 1934 to 2619 of the family's 2925-position model. Lineage: Eukaryota; Metazoa; Arthropoda; Insecta; Coleoptera; Lycidae. The record is from RNAcentral.
CGGUAUUUUGACCGUGCAAAGGUAGCAUAAUAAUUAGUUUCUUGANNAGAAGCUUGAAUGAAUGAUUGGACGAGAAAAUUUCUGUCUCUUUUUAAUUUGUUUUUGAAUUUUAUUUUUAAGUAAAAAAGCUUAAAUUUUAAUAAAAGACGAGAAGACCCUAUAGAGUUUUAUAUUUAAUGUUUAUUUAGUAUUAGAAAUUUUUUUAAAUUUUACUUAUUUAGUUGGGGUGACUGGAGGAUAAAAAUAAUUCCUCUUUUUGUUAAUUGAUGAUUGUUAAAUUGGUUAUCUGAUUUUUUCAAAUAAAAAAUAAAUUACCUUAGGGAUAACAGCGUAAUUUUUCUUUAGAGUUCUUAUUGAAAGAAGAUUUUGCGACCUCGAUGUUGGAUUAAAAUAAAUUUUUGGUGUAGAAGCUAAAAAAUUGGGUCUGUUCGACCUUUAAUAUUUUACNUGANCUGAGUUCAGACCGG